This 467-nucleotide ribosomal RNA is filed under the name uncultured bacterium. RNAcentral describes it as "partial 16S ribosomal RNA". It matches the Rfam family "Bacterial small subunit ribosomal RNA", at positions 28 to 507 of the family's 1533-position model. The record is from RNAcentral.
GACGAACGCUGGCGGCGUGCUUAACACAUGCAAGUCGAACGGAAAGGCCUCUUUCGGGGGGUACUCGAGUGGCGAACGGGUGAGUAACACGUGAGUAACCUGCCCUUGACUUUGGGAUAACUUCAGGAAACUGGGGCUAAUACCGGAUAGGAGCUCCUGGUGCAUGGUGGGGGUUGGAAAGUUUCGGCGGUUGGGGAUGGACUCGCGGCUUAUCAGCUUGUUGGUGGGGUAGUGGCUUACCAAGGCUUUGACGGGUAGCCGGCCUGAGAGGGUGACCGGCCACAUUGGGACUGAGAUACGGCCCAGACUCCUACGGGAGGCAGCAGUGGGGAAUAUUGCACAAUGGGUGGAAGCCUGAUGCAGCAACGCCGUGUGCGGGAUGACGGCCUUCGGGUUGUAAACCGCUUUCGCUCAUGACGAAGCUUUGUGUGACGGUAGUGGGUAAAGAAGCACCGGCUAACUACGUG